UGGAAAGAUGAAUCAAAGAAGGUAAUAAUCCUGUAGUCGAAAAUGUUGUCUCUCUUGAGUGGAUCCUGAGUACGACGGAGCACGUGAAAUUCCGUCGGAAUCUGGGAGGACCAUCUCCUAAGGCUAAAUACUCUCUAGUGACCGAUAGUGAACCAGUACCGUGAGGGAAAGGUGAAAAGCACCCCGGAAGGGGAGUGAAAUAGAACCUGAAACCGUGUGCUUACAAGUAGUCAGAGCCCGUUAAUGGGUGAUGGCGUGCCUUUUGUAGAAUGAACCGGCGAGUUACGAUUUGAUGCAAGGUUAAGCAGUAAAUGUGGAGCCGUAGCGAAAGCGAGUCUGAAUAGGGCGUUUAGUAUUUGGUCGUAGACCCGAAACCAGGUGAUCUACCCUUGGUCAGGUUGAAGUUCAGGUAACACUGAAUGGAGGACCGAACCGACUUACGUUGAAAAGUGAGCGGAUGAACUGAGGGUAGCGGAGAAAUUCCAAUCGAACCUGGAGAUAGCUGGUUCUCUCCGAAAUAGCUUUAGGGCUAGCCUCAAGUGAUGAUUAUUGGAGGUAGAGCACUGUUUGGACGAGGGGCCCCUCUCGGGUUACCGAAUUCAGACAAACUCCGAAUGCCAAUUAAUUUAACUUGGGAGUCAGAACAUGGGUGAUAAGGUCCGUGUUCGAAAGGGAAACAGCCCAGACCACCAGCUAAGGUCCCAAAAUAUAUGUUAAGUGGAAAAGGAUGUGGCGUUGCCCAGACAACUAGGAUGUUGGCUUAGAAGCAGCCAUCAUUUAAAGAGUGCGUAAUAGCUCACUAGUCGAGUGACACUGCGCCGAAAAUGUACCGGGGCUAAACAUAUUACCGAAGCUGUGGAUUGUCCUUUGGACAAUGGUAGGAGAGCGUUCUAAGGGCGUUGAAGCAUGAUCGUAAGGACAUGUGGAGCGCUUAGAAGUGAGAAUGCCGGUGUGAGUAGCGAAAGACGGGUGAGAAUCCCGUCCACCGAUUGACUAAGGUUUCCAGAGGAAGGCUCGUCCGCUCUGGGUUAGUCGGGUCCUAAGCUGAGGCCGACAGGCGUAGGCGAUGGAUAACAGGUUGAUAUUCCUGUACCACCUAUAAUCGUUUUAAUCGAUGGGGGGACGCAGUAGGAUAGGCGAAGCGUGCGAUUGGAUUGCACGUCUAAGCAGUAAGGCUGAGUAUUAGGCAAAUCCGGUACUCAUUAAGGCUGAGCUGUGAUGGGGAGAAGACAUUGUGUCUUCGAGUCGUUGAUUUCACACUGCCGAGAAAAGCCUCUAGAUAGAAAAUAGGUGCCCGUACCGCAAACCGACACAGGUAGUCAAGAUGAGAAUUCUAAGGUGAGCGAGCGAACUCUCGUUAAGGAACUCGGCAAAAUGACCCCGUAACUUCGGGAGAAGGGGUGCUCUUUAGGGUUAACGCCCAGAAGAGCCGCAGUGAAUAGGCCCAAGCGACUGUUUAUCAAAAACACAGGUCUCUGCUAAACCGUAAGGUGAUGUAUAGGGGCUGACGCCUGCCCGGUGCUGGAAGGUUAAGAGGAGUGGUUAGCUUCUGCGAAGCUACGAAUCGAAGCCCCAGUAAACGGCGGCCGUAACUAUAACGGUCCUAAGGUAGCGAAAUUCCUUGUCGGGUAAGUUCCGACCCGCACGAAAGGCGUAACGAUUUGGGCACUGUCUCAACGAGAGACUCGGUGAAAUCAUAGUACCUGUGAAGAUGCAGGUUACCCGCGACA
This 1730-nucleotide ribosomal RNA is filed under the name Staphylococcus aureus. Its description in RNAcentral is "partial 23S ribosomal RNA". It matches the Rfam family "Bacterial large subunit ribosomal RNA", at positions 343 to 2077 of the family's 2925-position model. The record is from RNAcentral. Lineage: Bacteria; Bacillati; Bacillota; Bacilli; Caryophanales; Staphylococcaceae.